Molecule: long non-coding RNA, 882 nt
Organism: Rhinopithecus roxellana (golden snub-nosed monkey)
Lineage: Eukaryota; Metazoa; Chordata; Mammalia; Primates; Cercopithecidae
Exons: 3
Source: RefSeq, a predicted model, not a curated record
GGCCUCUGGGUUCCGAGGGUGCUGGUGACCUGAGAGAAGGGAGGGGACAGAGGAGAAGACACGUCUGAUGAGCCGGGGAGACUUCGGAGGAGGCGGGCCGGCCAGGAGGAAGUGGAGGGGAGGAGGGACCGGAGCACCCCAGGAGCGAAGAAGGAGCACGGCCCCUGCCCUCCCACGCGCCCUCCAGGGACCCGGCAGCCAGACGGACGGACAGGCGGACCGCUAGGGAGCUCACGUACCCGGACACACGCAAGAGCGCAGAACAAAGGGACGGACAUGCUCCAGCCCGCUCCGCCUGCGCCUUGGCCUCGCGCGCCGGGCCCCGGUUACCUGCGCAGAUCCCUUCAGUGAAUAUGGGAUGCUUCCAUAAUGAAGAGAGAGACACACCGUGAUGACCUCCACAUACCAUAUUUGAUGACAGUCUUCCAUGAGCCAGCUGUGAUAUAAAGAAGUUUGUCUGUGCUGCGUGAGAGAGAUACCACCUGAAGACAACGAGGCCCUGGAGGAUGAGAGACUCUCAAGGAAAAGAGAAGGGCCUGCCGUCUUCCAGCCACGCCAGCCCCCAACUGAGGAGCUGGGUGACGCCAUCUUGCAUCCUUAGCCUCAGUCAAGUUGCCUUAGCAGAGACUAGCUGACGCUGCCAAGCCCUGCCCAAGUUACAGAAUCAUGAGCAAAUAAAUGACUGUUUCUGUUUUAGGCUUUUACAUUUUGGGGGUGGUUUGUGUGCCAGUAAUAACUGAAACAGAUAAUAUAUUUACAGAAUAAACUUCAGUUUUAAUGAUUUAAGUAAAAGCCCACUAAUUCAUUAUGCAGAAAAAAAUGAUUUUUUUUGAGACAGUCUCGCUCUGUUGCCCAGGCUGGAGUACCGUGGCACAACCACAG